Molecule: ribosomal RNA, 456 nt
Filed under: uncultured bacterium
Lineage: Bacteria
Description: partial 16S ribosomal RNA
Rfam family: Bacterial small subunit ribosomal RNA
Source: RNAcentral
CGGGUGGCUGCAGUGAGGAAUAUUGGUCAAUGGGCGCGAGCCCGAACCAGCCAAGUAGCGUGAAGGAUGACUGCCCUACGGGUUGUAAACUUCUUUUAUAAAGGAAUAAAGUGAGGCACGUGUGCCUUUUUGUAUGUACUUUAUGAAUAAGGAUCGGCUAACUCCGUGCCAGCAGCCGCGGUAAUACGGAGGAUCCGAGCGUUAUCCGGAUUUAUUGGGUUUAAAGGGAGCGUAGAUGGGUUGUUAAGUCAGUUGUGAAAGUUUGCGGCUCAACCGUAAAAUUGCAAUUGAUACUGGCAGUCUUGAGUACAGUUGAGGUAGGCGGAAUUCGUGGUGUAGCGGUGAAAUGCUUAGAUAUCACGAAGAACUCCGAUUGCGAAGGCAGCUUACUAAACUGCCACUGACAUUGAUGCUCGAAAGUGUGGGUAUCAAACAGGAUUAGAUACCCCGGUAGUC